Molecule: transfer RNA, 72 nt
Filed under: Camelus bactrianus (Bactrian camel)
Lineage: Eukaryota; Metazoa; Chordata; Mammalia; Artiodactyla; Camelidae
Also listed under: 2 other names
Rfam family: tRNA
About the family: Transfer RNA (tRNA) molecules are approximately 80 nucleotides in length. Their secondary structure includes four short double-helical elements and three loops (D, anti-codon, and T loops).
Source: Rfam by way of RNAcentral
GUUAGUAUAGCUCAGUGGUAGAGAGCAUGCUUAGCAUGCAUGAGGUCCUGGGUUCAAUCCCCAGUCCUUCCA